CCCUUAGAUGUUCUGGGCUGCACGCGUGUUACAAUCGGGAGUACAACAAGAUUGCAAAUCCUAGUGGAUGAGUGGUUCUUCGAAAUUUUCUGAAGACUGGGAUAGUUGAUUGAAAUUAUUCAACUCGAACGAGGAAUUCCUUGUAAUUGUAAUUCAUUAUAUUGUAAUGAAUACGUCCCUGCCCUUUGUACACACUGCCCGUCGCUCCUACCGAUUGAACGAUCCGGUGAAUUAUUUGGGGUAGCUCUGGAAGUUGCAGAACUUCCUAUGUCACGAAAUUUUGUAAACCUUAUCGUUUAGAGGAAGGAAAAGUCGUAACA
RNAcentral lists this ribosomal RNA (320 nucleotides) under uncultured eukaryote. RNAcentral describes it as "partial 18S ribosomal RNA". It matches the Rfam family "Eukaryotic small subunit ribosomal RNA", at positions 1470 to 1796 of the family's 1831-position model. The record is from RNAcentral.